Molecule: transfer RNA, 73 nt
Filed under: Stegodyphus mimosarum
Lineage: Eukaryota; Metazoa; Arthropoda; Arachnida; Araneae; Eresidae
Rfam family: tRNA
About the family: Transfer RNA (tRNA) molecules are approximately 80 nucleotides in length. Their secondary structure includes four short double-helical elements and three loops (D, anti-codon, and T loops).
Source: Rfam by way of RNAcentral
GCUUUUGUGGUGUAGUGGUUAACACACUCGGCGCGUAUUCGAGAGAUCUGAGGUUCGAGUCCCACCAAGGGCG